Non-coding RNA from Camellia sinensis, 5154 nucleotides. The record is from RefSeq and is a predicted model, not a curated record. Lineage: Eukaryota; Viridiplantae; Streptophyta; Magnoliopsida; Ericales; Theaceae.
UUGAACCCAGAUUGGAUCUCUCUCUCUUUCCUUUCUCUCCAUCGGCAUCUGUGAACCUGUGAACGAAGAUCAAUCGAAAACGACGCCAUCGAUCGCCUCUUUCUCGUCUAUUCUGAUCCCUCCUCGCAAUUUCAUAUUGGAUCGAACAUUGGUUUGGGGGAAAUUGAUUCACUGAACUGCAUCAUUCUCUCUCUCUCCCCUUGAUUUUUGUCACAAACUGCAUAUAUAUAUAUAUAUAUAUAUAUAUCUGCUACGUGAUCAGAAGGAAGACUACAGAUGAUUAAUCUGAUAGAUUUUACAUCAGGCAUGGAAUUGAAGCUCUUGUUUUCACCGAGUUCGACGUCUAUUUCAUCAUACAGAUGAUCAAUUGCUUCUCUUUCAACCUCUUGCCCUCUAACCUAGAAAGAUCAUCAGGCCAUUGAUAUCCUUCUAGCAGAGAUUGAUAUAUACAAGCUUUUUGCUUUCAAACAUUGCAAGGGAAGGAAGGUUAAGCUUGCUCUUUGUGAAGAGAAGUGAAAGUCGAGCACCAUCAUCCAUAUCAAGAGUUGAUGUUUGGAUUAAAGGGCAUACAAACGAGGAAGGAAGGAAAAUCCAUGAAUGAAGUGCUUGAUGCAACUGUGAAAAAGGUUCAAGAACUUCAUAAGAUUUCUACUGAUGAGGGUCCAAAAUCUAUAAAAGAUGAUGCGAUUUUUCAUACUUUUGGUCCCGAGCGCCAUGGGAGUGUAUGAGGGCUGGGGUUUGGGGCAUUACCAUCUAAGGUUGAUGCACAAGUACACCAAAAUGAGCACGUGAGAAAACUUGAAGGCAAGGUGCUGGACUUAGAACAACAACUUGAUGAGAUAAGAGCCAUGCUUAUCAAAGAAAGAAGGCAAAAUGAUGGUAGCAAUCCCUCCCAACGAAGCUCCGAUCUACUCCAAUCUACUCCUCAUGACAACCUUCCAACUUUAGUGAAUGAAGUUGGUUCUGUUACUGAAAGCAUUGAAGCUAUGAAAUUAUCUAAACGUGCUGGUUCUUCAAUUGCAAAUCUUCCAACUGGUUUAGAUAUGGAAACUUAGCUGGAGAGCAUCGGCAGAAUAGAUUAAGCCCAAACAACCUGUCACAGAAAGAUAAAAAUCCAGUAGUAGUUCGUUCACUCGAGGGCACUCCGACGCUCAAGUCAAUAAUCAAAUAUCUCUUAAAGAUUGCAACUUGUGCUUCAUCUCACAAGAAAGAACAUAUCUCAAACCCACGAGGGUACCUUGUUUUUGUAAGCAGCAGUAACCUGAUCCCUGUAGAGGCCCAACUUUAAUGGACUCAGGCUCAAUGCUCAUCUUGGACUCUCAGCUAGAUAAGGAUAAACUACCUAAGAGCUCUAUCUUUAUCUAGACUGAGAUCCUCUCCUGUUCUAGGACUCUUCUCCCUUAUCUGCUCAUCUUGGAUUCCGGUAUCUCUGCAGACAAUCUCAGCCUAGCCGGGAUCAUCUCGACAUCAAGACAAGACUAGACCACGUGGCACCUCGGCUGACUCUUCGGCGUUACCUUAGCCACGUGUUGUUAUUCACAAAAUAUGUCCCCACAACUGUCCCUAGGUUCUAUUAUCUCGGCAAUCUGAGGUAAUGGAACCUACAUUGUUUGCUCAUAUAACAUGUUGGCUAAAUUACAUUUCUUCUUCACUACCGAAAUCAUUUUGUCGGCUUCAAGUACCCAGGACUCAAAUGUCCACUUUACCAAGGGUUAAGAACCAAGAAUCAAGUUCUUUAGACAUCUUAGCCGAGGUCGUUCCUCUAGUCGAGAUUGUUGCUUCAUUAACUCAAGAACUCCAAGAGUUUAAUCUGCGCAUGAGCUGUUACGCACGGUUUCCUCAACCGUUCUUUCAACGCGUCCCUUUCUUAUUGGUUCAUACCUAACAUGCACUAUCAGGUCACAUCGCUUCUGCGCACGCCGCAUGACAAGCACGUCGUCCAAGGCAUUUUAAUUACAUUUUGUCACUUUUUCACAUUUUAACAAAAACUCUUUCACUCUCUCUGUCUUUUCACUUCGCAUUCUCGCACUCUCUCUCAAAGUUUUCUCUGUCCACGAAUCUUUCUCCAAACCUCCAUUACCGUGUUUGUGAGCUUUCUGCGAUCACCUAUCUACUGCUUCUGGUGAGCCUUUUACUAUCAGGCUCUAGAAAAUACCAUCGUUGGACUCCGGCGAUCCUCAUUCCCGCGUACUUUCUGUUGGCUCCACUCGGUAAGUUCACAAUUUCUUCCCUCUUUAAGUUCAGUCUUUCAUUAUUUCUUUGAUUUAUUCCAAAUCUGUUACUUGUUUAUAUGAUGUUUGUUGCCAUUGCAAAUCAAUUUUUGUUCUUCAAUCUUCAUUAUACAAUAUAUCCUUGUGUCUUUUCACAUUGUUCGUGAUUCCCGCACAUAGUGUUUAUAAACUUGAAGCUUUAACAAUUUUGCUACUAUUCUUGGCUUUUGCACAUCCGCACACACCUACUCAAUGUUUCUUCAAAAAAUGUUGCUUUCUUGAUUCUGAAUCAUGUUCUUUUCUAUUUUUCUUUGACUUGUUUCCAGAUUCUUGCCUUUGAUUCUUGUUUCCAUAUAGACUUAGAUUUGGGAUUUGAUAGAAAUCACAUUAUUUUAGGAAAAUUGAAACAAAUUCCCCUUUGAUCUUCAAAAAACCCUCACCCCAAUUCCAAUUUUAGGUUUUAGCCGAGGUAUUCAAACCUAUAUCCAUCACUCUAUUAUCUAACCACUUUAGCCGAGAUAAUGGGUAUGUUCAGGUGGAGAGUGGAUACCCUAAAAAAACUUGAAUACUUUAGGAGAGAAUUUUCUAUCCCUGCCGACGUCUAGCUUAGGUUAGCCGGGGAGGAGGAUUCCAUCAUGCCCGACGGAGACUCCAUGCCCUUCCCCGUAGUUGCCUUUAUAGAGUGUGGACUUUGGUUCCCUUUAGACACUCUUUUCUGUGAGGUCCUUCACUAUUACAAGCUUAACCCUAUGCAACUUGCCAUCAAUUCAUAUAGGGUUAUAAAUGGUAUAAUUGAGCUGACACGCCGAGAAAAGGCCAGGAUCAUUUUAGCCAACAUUCAGUAUUGUUAUAUCAUGUGUGGUCUAAAGUCUGAAAAAGGCUACAUUUACUACCUAAAACCUAGAUCCACAGCAUACAAAAUCAUAGCCGACCUCCCAAACUGCAACAAGGGUACUGGAGAUGAUUACCUCAUCGCCUUAGGCAAUUAGGAGUUUGCUCCUGAUGAUGAUCUUCAUCUCUUUCCUCUACGCCAAUUGAUGUUUAAAGAGAGUGAUGCUCUUCCCUGGCCGGCAAAGGAUUUUCGACAAAAUUUCUUCCCCAGAAAGGAUCUGAAAAAGCUACUAGAUAUGCUAGUUGAAAAACGCAAGGCCCUACUACUGCUUGAUUAUAUCCCAACCUCUAAAUUGGCCCCGCCGACGUUCCACACCAAAGCAAGACUCCUUCUGCUACGACUCCUCUUUCUGCUACAACUCCUCAUCACCCAGGCCAAACCAGGCCUCCUCCUCAGAUCCAGUUGAGUUGCCAUCUACCUCUGCCCCUCAACUUAUCCUGAUAUCACAGCGCCGAUGCCGACGUCGUGCCCCAACAAACGUACUAGCAGACAGGACUCGUAGCUGUAAACAUUAGGAUUCGGAGGCGUCGGCUUACGAUCCAGCGAGCCCACCAACUGUAUUGCCAACCAUUCAUUUCGGAACCAAAGUCACCCUUACUGCUAUUACUGAAGACAUGGUCCGAAAAGUAGUUGUUAAGGACCUCUUGGCCGACUUGCCAGGAGUGGUCACUGUUGCCUCUUCUUUACCAUCUCAAUCUCAACAAAAACCAAAACAAAAAAGGGUAAAGAAGGCUAAGGCAAAAGUCUCUGCCACUCAAGUCGAAUCAAAACACACAGUACCAAUCUCGAAGCUUGCUGAGAUGGAGAAAAUAGUCCCUGCUGCUGAGAAGAGGCUUGCUGAGGCCGAUCCAACUGAUACCGCUCGGUCAAAGAAGUCGAGGUCCGAAGUUAUAGCAACCUCGGGUGCGUUUAAAGCCGAUGAGCCCUGGGCCCCAACCCUCAUGAUUGGGGAUCGGCCAAUGAAGGCUGGUGACAGUGCCAUCAAUAGUAUUGAGGUCGGUGCCGUUCUCUCUACAGUUGUGCUCCUUCUAACCGAUCUCAAUCGUAUGCCCGAGAUCAAUGAAUACGAAAAUUUUUCUCUGAUGAUGUAGCAUUCCAUUUUGGCUAUCCAACAUACUCAUUCUUUCGCCAUGAAAGCCGAGGCUUUCAAAGAAGAGUUGGUGCACAAAACCAAGGAAGCUGCUGGCUUUCUCUCUUCUCUAAACAACGCUAAGGCUAAAAUCAAGGUUCUUCUUGAUCAUGCCAAGGCAACCAGACAGGCCUAGGACCAGGUCGAGGAAAAAGUUGAGGCGGCCGAGGCUGUAGCCAAAGUGUUGAGAUUUGAGAUCAAAGAUGCCGAGGAGAAAACUGCCAAGGUCAAGGCGGAGCUCCAAGAAGUGCUGGUCGCGAAGGAAGCCGAAAUCAAGGCGAUCGACGAGAAGGCCUUCUUAGAAGGGCAAGCUGCAGUCCAUGACGUAUACAAAGAUCAAGUCAACCAAGCCUGUAACCGAGGCUUCUAUCUUGGCUGGACUGUAGCCCUCAACAAAUUAUCUGUCCCUAUGGACUCCGACCUCCAAGAUAUCAGCAAACUUUAAAUGCUAUUCCCCUAACUUCCAAAAAGUCAGAUGGGGAAGCCGAUAAAGAGGAAUCCGAAUCUGAUGACGCCGAAGAAGAGGAGGAUACUGCUAAUGGGGCCAAGUCCCUAACUUUGAAUGAUCAAGUCUUACACUUGACUCAUGAUGAAGAGGAAGACUUGGUUUCCAAGGGAGCCUCUCCAAAACAAACCACUUCUGAGGCCGAGGUCCAGGCAGUCGAGAAGAGCUUGGACUAGACCUUGCUGGAAAUCGAUGUCGAGAUAACGGCGGAGAAGGAAGUCACAUUGCCAACUGAGGCCGACACAACGCUAAUAGCCGAGGUUGAACAAUCUGAUACCAGUGCCAAUAAUUCCAUCACUUAGGAAUUUUUGCUUUUGAAUAGUUUUGUAAUGCUUGGACGAGUAAUCUCUUUUGCCAGGCCGAAGUGCCUUUGUUUCUGAACAAGUUUCUCUUGAAUGCAUGCUUGCCUUCUUCCUUA